This 776-nucleotide ribosomal RNA is filed under the name uncultured Neocallimastigales. RNAcentral describes it as "partial large subunit ribosomal RNA". It matches the Rfam family "Eukaryotic large subunit ribosomal RNA", at positions 24 to 616 of the family's 3401-position model. Lineage: Eukaryota; Fungi; Neocallimastigomycota; Neocallimastigomycetes; Neocallimastigales. The record is from RNAcentral.
UACGACUACAUAUCAGGCAUAUCAAUAAGCGGAGGAAAAGAAACUAACUAGGAUUCCCUCAGUAACGGCGAGUGAAGCGGGAAGAGCUCAAAUUUGAAAUCUUCAAGGUUCUACCUUGACGAAUUGUAGUUUAAAGAAGUGUUUUCUGUUGGAGUUCUGGUAAAAGUUCUUUGGAAUAGGACAUCAUAGAGGGUGAGAAUCCCGUAUUUGACCAUUAUUUUCCAGCUGUGUGAUACACUUUCAAAGAGUCGGAUUGUUUGGGAAUGCAGUCCAAAAUGGGUGGUAAAUUUCAUCUAAAGCUAAAUAUUGGCGAGAGACCGAUAGCGAACAAGUACCGUGAGGGAAAGAUGAAAAGAACUUUGAAAAGAGAGUUAAACAGUACGUGAAAUUGUCAAAAGGGAAGCGUUUGACACCAGUGUUGUUCUCUCGAAAAUCAAUUAAAAAGAGCUGGAUUUUGUGUUGUAUUGACCUUAAUCAGCUUGCUUCACUCUUUUCUUGUCUUUUUUAAUGCACUUUUCGUUUAACAAGUCAACAUCAAUUUCUUUUGUUGUAAAAGGGUCAUUGGAAGGUGGCUUUCUUUUCGGAGAAAGUGUUUAUAGCCUUUGGCCUCUGCAAUCGGAGAGAUUGAGGUCUGCAGCGUAGAUCCUUCGGGGUUAGAUACAUUUGUGCUAAGUUAUAGCCUUUCAUAGACAACUUGUUGACUAUGAUCAGUCAUGUAGCUUACUCGCUUAUGCUAUUUUACCUACGCUUAGGAUGUUGAGCGCAUGUCUCUCUCU